Molecule: ribosomal RNA, 301 nt
Filed under: uncultured bacterium
Lineage: Bacteria
Description: partial 16S ribosomal RNA
Rfam family: Bacterial small subunit ribosomal RNA
Source: RNAcentral
CAGUCGCCGCGGGAAUACGUAGGGUGCAAGCGUUAAUCGGAAUUACUUGACGUAAAGCGUGCGCAGGCGGUUAUGUAAGACAGAUGUGAAAUGCCCGGGCUCAACCUGGGAACUGCAUUUGUGACUGCAUGGCUAGAGUGUGUCAGAGGGGGGUAGAAUUCCACGUGUAGCAGUGAAAUGCGUAGAUAUGUGGAGGAAUACCGAUGGCGAAGGCAGCCCCCUGGGAUAACACUGACGCUCAUGCACGAAAGCGUGGGGAGCAAACAGGAUUAGAUACCCCUGUAGUCCCUGUCUCUUAUAA